This 253-nucleotide ribosomal RNA is filed under the name uncultured bacterium. RNAcentral's name for it is "partial 16S ribosomal RNA". It matches the Rfam family "Bacterial small subunit ribosomal RNA", at positions 524 to 776 of the family's 1533-position model. The record is from RNAcentral.
UACGAAGGGGGCUAGCGUUGCUCGGAAUUACUGGGCGUAAAGGGCGCGUAGGCGGAUACUUAAGUCGGGGGUGAAAGCCCAGGGCUCAACCCUGGAAUUGCCUUCGAUACUGGGUAUCUUGAGUUCGGGAGAGGUGAGUGGAAUGCCGAGUGUAGAGGUGAAAUUCGUAGAUAUUCGGCGGAACACCAGUGGCGAAGGCGACUCACUGGCCCGAUACUGACGCUGAGGCGCGAAAGCGUGGGGAGCAAACAGG